Molecule: long non-coding RNA, 1657 nt
Filed under: Sus scrofa (pig)
Lineage: Eukaryota; Metazoa; Chordata; Mammalia; Artiodactyla; Suidae
Description: lncRNA (ENSSSCG00015027608.1)
Source: RNAcentral
AAAAUACCAUCUGGGAGUUCCCGUCAUGGUGCAGGGGUUAACGAAUCCGACUAGGAACCAUGAGGUUCAGGCAUUCUUAAUAGUCUGAGAAUUAGAAUUAAACCUCAUGUUUGCUGUUUUUAUCAAAGAGAAAAUGUUCUUCCUUCAUUUGUUGAUUCUUCUUUGGUAGGUUUCAGGUUGGGGAAGAGUCAUCAAAGUUUUAAUUCAUCAUUUUGUUGUUGUUGUGAGUUUCCAACAAAACUCACUGGCAUUUACAAAGAUCAUUUUAACUCUGUAGUGAAGGACGAGGGGAGAAUAUUGGAAGAGAAUAGAUAAGAGAUCAAGAGGAAGACAGAAAGGCCUGGGGUUGGGCUGUACCAGGUCAAUUCAGAUGGCCAAUAGAGGCUGGAAAGGAAGAAAUUUGGAAAUGAGUAAAGUGCCAGGCAAACACACAUGCUAUGAGCUAUUCCUAGACAGGAAAAGUUUACCUCAUUCAUCUUUGUAUUUCAAGAGCCUAGUGCUGGUCUGCAUUCAUUUGGCAUUUAAUGCUUGUUGAACAGACCUGCAUUAGUUGUUGGGAUGAGAAAGAACUGAGAAUGACAGAUGUAGUGCAAGCCUCUCAAAAGAGAGGUUGAUAAUAAGGUGAGAAACUCUACUAAGAAGUAGAGAUGAAAAAGUGCUUUGCUAAGUAGUUGAUGUACAUAGGACCCAAAAGGUAAUUUCAGCAUAAAUAGCAGGAUUUAGUCAGAACCCAUCUCAAAUUAACAUAAUUCAUCAAAAUUUUAUAUCUAUAAAAUAAAUCUGAGAUUUUAAGAAUGGAUAAUUUCCUGUAAAAAAUCCCUAACUCCAGAGUUAUCGUCUGUAAGAUAUUUUUCUUAAAAUUUGUAAAAAUAAAUAUGAAUAAAUGUAAGAAAAAUUUAUUUACAGAAUAUUGAUUACUAUAAAAGAUUACUGCUAAACUAUUUCCCCUCUUUUGAAGAGCCCUGAUAAUAAAAGCAGGAAACUGAUACACAUCUUAUGUAGAUUUUAUGUGAGUACAUUUCUUGUGAACCAUUGAUUCACAUCCCUUUCUGAGCCACCCCGUCCCCCAAACACUGGCACAUGGCAACCUCUGGAACUGUAGUUUUGUCUUUUCUAGAAUUUCACAUAAAUUCUAGUCUUUGGGUUUGGUUCCUUUCCCUUUGAGUCAUGCCUUUGAAAUUCCUGCCUGUUGUGUUUAUCUGUGUUGUGUGUCUCUCUUCAUCUGUUAUUUCUUCUUGUACACAUACCAUGAUUGUGGAUCCUAGAUUUUGUUUGAUAAAAGAUAAUAUCUUCAAAUAAUUUAUUUCUUCCUGAUAUUCAUGCUUUUAACAUCUAUAUAUCUCUUCUGACUGUGAUUAGAGGGCAUUCCUGACUUGUUUUUAAAUUCUGGGAAAUAGUAUUUUCAGUAGAUUUUUGGUAAGUGCUAUUUUGGAGGUGAAAGAGAUUACUCCUAGCCCUAGAGUGCACAGCUUUUCUUUUUUAUAAAUAAAUACUAAAUUUUAUCAAAUAUUUUUCUAUGCCUAUUGAGAACAUCACAUGAAUUUUAGCUUUAGUUUCUUCAUAGAAGAUCAUUUACUGAUAUUUAUUAUUAAGCUAUCCUUAACAUUUCUGGGAUAAGUAUAAUUAGGUUAUGAUGAUGCUUUUUGUACUGUUGUUU